UGCCUUCUCCUUCGGGAAAGAAAGUGUAUAGGAGGCUGGCUUCACAGCACUUGGACAGCACUAGGUUUCAGUUCCUGUUCCCUUGACUACUAGCCAUGUGACCAUGAGCAGGAGAACGAGGCCAGAAAAGCUAUAGGAACACAAUGUUGCAAGAAGGUGGGAGUGAAGAAUAGAUGCCAGACCUCACUGGGAACAAGAGAAAUGCACAUUAAAACUGGCACGGAGUUCCUGCAGUUCUCCUGUCAGGUGGGCAGGCGACAUUGCGUUGGAGAGGCUGUGGGGAAACAGCCUUAUUCAUAGAAGCAAAAGAUUACACACAACUCAAGCGGAAUCAAGAGGAGACCUUGUAAGCAAAUGAUGCUCCACUUAUACUUUGGGAAACGAGGCAACCGUUAAAAAGAACAAGGACACUUCGUACUGACAUGAGAUGGUCUCUGAAGUGUAGGUAAAAUGCAAAGUGUGUCCCACCAGGGUAACCAGCAAGCCUCCUUUUGUGUAAAAAUGGAUAAAUAGGAAUAUUUUGCUUUGUAUUUGCUUCUGUUUGCACGAAGAAAUCAAAGAACUACACAAAUAGCCUGUAAAAAGAUGGAAACAGAUCCAAAUAUAUCAGUAGGUAUUAUAAAUGUAAAUGGACUAAACUUGUUAAUAAAAAGGCAC
RNAcentral lists this long non-coding RNA (657 nucleotides) under Equus caballus (horse). RNAcentral's name for it is "lncRNA (ENSECAG00000047485.1)". Lineage: Eukaryota; Metazoa; Chordata; Mammalia; Perissodactyla; Equidae. The record is from RNAcentral.